This 851-nucleotide ribosomal RNA is filed under the name Hypocrella siamensis. Its description in RNAcentral is "eukaryotic LSU rRNA". It matches the Rfam family "Eukaryotic large subunit ribosomal RNA", at positions 75 to 936 of the family's 3401-position model. Lineage: Eukaryota; Fungi; Ascomycota; Sordariomycetes; Hypocreales; Clavicipitaceae. The record is from RNAcentral.
UUGCCCCAGUAACGGCGAGUGAAGCGGCAACAGCUCAAAUUUGAAAUCUGGCCCCUCCCCCGGGGGGGCCCGAGUUGUAAUUUGCAGAGGAUGCUUCUGGCGAGGUGCCUUCCGAGUUCCCUGGAACGGGACGCCGCAGAGGGUGAGAGCCCCGUCUGGUCGGACAACCGAGCCUCUGUGAAGCUCCUUCGACGAGUCGAGUAGUUUGGGAAUGCUGCUCUAAAUGGGAGGUAUAUGUCUUCUAAAGCUAAAUACCGGCCAGAGACCGAUAGCGCACAAGUAGAGUGAUCGAAAGAUGAAAAGCACUUUGAAAAGAGGGUUAAACAGUACGUGAAAUUGUUGAAAGGGAAGCGCUCAUGACCAGACCUGGUCCCGGCGAAUCACCCGGCGUUCUCGCCGGUGCACUUCGACGGGCUUCCAGGCCAGCAUCAGUCCGCGCCGGGGGACAAAGGCGGCGGGAACGUGGCUCCCCAGGGAGUGUUAUAGCCCGCCGCGCAAUGCCCCGGGGGCGGACUGAGGCCCGCGCGUCACCGCAAGGAUGCUGGCGUAAUGGUCAUCAGCGACCCGUCUUGAAACACGGACCAAGGAGUCGUCCUCGUAUGCGAGUGUUGGGGCGUCAAACCCCCCGCGCGUAAUGAAAGUGAACGGCAGGUGAGAGCCCUCGCGGGCGCAUCAUCGACCGAUCCUGAUGUUCUCGGAUGGAUUUGAGUAGGAGCAUACGGGGCCGGACCCGAAAGAAGGUGAACUAUGCCUGUGUAGGGUGAAGCCAGAGGAAACUCUGGUGGAGGCUCGCAGCGGUUCUGACGUGCAAAUCGAUCGUCAAACAUGGGCAUGGGGGCGAAAGACUAAUC